CCUACGGGAGGCAGCAGUGAGGAAUAUUGGUCAAUGGACGAGAGUCUGAACCAGCCAAGUAGCGUGAAGGAUGACUGCCCUAUGGGUUGUAAACUUCUUUUAUAUGGGAAUAAAAUGUUCCACGUGUGGGAUUUUGUAUGUACCAUAUGAAUAAGGAUCGGCUAACUCCGUGCCAGCAGCCGAGGUAAUACGGAGGAUCCGAGCGUUAUCCGGAUUUAUUGGGUUUAAAGGGAGCGUAGGUGGAUUGUUAAGUCAGUUGUGAAAGUUUGCGGCUCAACCGUAAAAUUGCAGUUGAAACUGGCAGUCUUGAGUACAGUAGAGGUGGGCGGAAUUCGUGGUGUAGCGGUGAAAUGCUUAGAUAUCACGAAGAACUCCGAUUGCGAAGGCAGUUCACUGGACUGCAACUGACACUGAGGCUCGAAAGUGUGGGUAUCAAACAGGAUUAGAUACCCGAGUAGUC
RNAcentral lists this ribosomal RNA (460 nucleotides) under uncultured bacterium. RNAcentral describes it as "partial 16S ribosomal RNA". It matches the Rfam family "Bacterial small subunit ribosomal RNA", at positions 338 to 795 of the family's 1533-position model. The record is from RNAcentral.